AACGCACGAGACCUGCGGACCUGCGGAGGGAUCAUUACCGAGUUAUCCAACUCCCAACCCCUGUGAAUUAUACCUUUAAUUGUUGCUUCGGCGGGACUUCGCGCCCGCCGGGGACCCAAACCUUCUGAAUUUUUUAAUAAGUAUCUUCUGAGUGGUUAAAAAAAUGAAUCAAAACUUUUAGCAAUGGAUCUCU
This 193-nucleotide unclassified non-coding RNA is filed under the name soil metagenome. Its description in RNAcentral is "partial contains 5.8S ribosomal RNA, internal transcribed spacer 2, and large subunit ribosomal RNA". The record is from RNAcentral.